This 74-nucleotide transfer RNA is filed under the name Pseudomonadales bacterium. Its description in RNAcentral is "tRNA-Pro". It matches the Rfam family "tRNA". From Rfam's summary of the family: Transfer RNA (tRNA) molecules are approximately 80 nucleotides in length. Their secondary structure includes four short double-helical elements and three loops (D, anti-codon, and T loops). Lineage: Bacteria; Pseudomonadati; Pseudomonadota; Gammaproteobacteria; Pseudomonadales. The record is from RNAcentral.
CGGGAUAUGGCGCAGUCUGGCAGCGCAUCUGCUUUGGGAGCAGAGGGUCGCAGGUUCAAAUCCUGCUAUCCCGA